RNAcentral lists this ribosomal RNA (207 nucleotides) under uncultured bacterium. RNAcentral describes it as "partial 16S ribosomal RNA". It matches the Rfam family "Bacterial small subunit ribosomal RNA", at positions 568 to 774 of the family's 1533-position model. The record is from RNAcentral.
GGCGUAGGCGGCCUUUCAAGUCGGAUGUGAAAUUUCCCGGCUCAACCGGGAGGAGCCAUCCGAUACUGUUGGGCUAGAGGGCAGCAAGAGAAGGUAGAAUUCCCGGUGUAGUGGUGAUAUGCGUAGAUAUCGGGAGGAAUACCAGUGGCGAAGGCGGCCUUCUGGGCUGUUUCUGACGCUGAGGCCCGAAAGUGUGGGGAGCGAACA